AUUGAACGCUGGCGGCAUGCUUUACACAUGCAAGUCGAACGGCAGCGCGGGCUUCGGCCUGGCGGCGAGUGGCGAACGGGUGAGUAAUGCAUCGGAACGUGCCCAGUAGUGGGGGAUAGCCCGGCGAAAGCCGGAUUAAUACCGCAUACGACCUGAGGGUGAAAGCGGGGGACCGAAAGGCCUCGCGCUAUUGGAGCGGCCGAUGUCGGAUUGGCUAGUUGGUGGGGUAAAGGCUUACCAAGGCGUCGAUCCGUAGCUGGUCUGAGAGGACGACCAGCCACACUGGGACUGAGACACGGCCCAGACUCCUACGGGAGGCAGCAGUGGGGAAUUUUGGACAAUGGGGGCAACCCUGAUCCAGCCAUGCCGCGUGCGGGAAGAAGGCCUUCGGGUUGUAAACCGCUUUUGUUCGGGAAGAAAUCCUCUGGGCUAAUACCCCGGGGGGAUGACGGUACCGGAAGAAUAAGCACCGGCUAACUACGUG
Molecule: ribosomal RNA, 484 nt
Filed under: uncultured bacterium
Lineage: Bacteria
Description: partial 16S ribosomal RNA
Rfam family: Bacterial small subunit ribosomal RNA
Source: RNAcentral